GAUGAACGCUAGCGGCAGGCCUAACACAUGCAAGUCGAGGGAGAAGCCCUUUCGGGGGCCGAAACCGGCGCACGGGUGCGUAACGCGUAUGCAACCUACCUUUCACAGGGGGAUAGCCCGAAGAAAUUUGGAUUAAUACCCCAUAAUAUUAUUGGAUGGCAUCAUUUGAUAAUUAAAACUGCGGUGGUGAAAGAUGGGCAUGCGUCCUAUUAGCUAGUUGGAGUGGUAACGGCACCCCAAGGCUACGAUAGGUAGGGGUCCUGAGAGGGAGAUCCCCCACACUGGUACUGAGACAGGGACCAGACUCCUACGGGAGGCAGCAGUGAGGAAUAUUGGUCAAUGGUCGGUAGACUGAACCAGCCAUGCCGCGUGCAGGAAGAAUGCCUUAUGGGUUGUAAACUGCUUUUAUAUGGGAAGAAUAAGGCGUACGUGUACGUUGAUGACGGUACCAUAUGAAUAAGCAUCGGCUAACUCCGUG
This 478-nucleotide ribosomal RNA is filed under the name uncultured bacterium. Its description in RNAcentral is "partial 16S ribosomal RNA". It matches the Rfam family "Bacterial small subunit ribosomal RNA", at positions 28 to 507 of the family's 1533-position model. The record is from RNAcentral.